RNAcentral lists this ribosomal RNA (1018 nucleotides) under uncultured bacterium. RNAcentral describes it as "bacterial SSU rRNA". It matches the Rfam family "Bacterial small subunit ribosomal RNA", at positions 355 to 1375 of the family's 1533-position model. The record is from RNAcentral.
UGAGGAAUAUUGGUCAAUGGACACAAGUCUGAACCAGCCAUGCCGCGUGCAGGAUGACGGCUCUAUGAGUUGUAAACUGCUUUUGUACGAGGGUAAACGCAGAUACGUGUAUCUGUCUGAAAGUAUCGUACGAAUAAGGAUCGGCUAACUCCGUGCCAGCAGCCGCGGUAAUACGGAGGAUUCAAGCGUUAUCCGGAUUUAUUGGGUUUAAAGGGUGCGUAGGCGGUUUGAUAAGUUAGAGGUGAAAUUUCGGGGCUCAACCCUGAACGUGCCUCUAAUACUGUUGAGCUAGAGAGUAGUUGCGGUAGGCGGAAUGUAUGGUGUAGCGGUGAAAUGCUUAGAGAUCAUACAGAACACCGAUUGCGAAGGCAGCUUACCAAACUAUAUCUGACGUUGAGGCACGAAAGCGUGGGGAGCAAACAGGAUUAGAUACCCUGGUAGUCCACGCAGUAAACGAUGAUAACUCGUUGUCGGCGAUACACAGUCGGUGACUAAGCGAAAGCGAUAAGUUAUCCACCUGGGGAGUACGUUCGCAAGAAUGAAACUCAAAGGAAUUGACGGGGGCCCGCACAAGCGGAGGAACAUGUGGUUUAAUUCGAUGAUACGCGAGGAACCUUACCCGGGCUUGAAAGUUAGCGACGAUUCUUGAAAGAGGAUUUCCCUUCGGGGCGCGAAACUAGGUGCUGCAUGGUUGUCGUCAGCUCGUGCCGUGAGGUGUCGGGUUAAGUCCCAUAACGAGCGCAACCCCUACCGUUAGUUGCCAUCAGGUGAAGCUGGGCACUCUGGCGGGACUGCCGGUGUAAGCCGAGAGGAAGGUGGGGAUGACGUCAAAUCAGCACGGCCCUUACGUCCGGGGCUACACACGUGUUACAAUGGUAGGUACAGAGGGCAGCUACCCAGCGAUGGGAUGCGAAUCUCGAAAGCCUAUCUCAGUUCGGAUUGGAGGCUGAAACCCGCCUCCAUGAAGUUGGAUUCGCUAGUAAUCGCGCAUCAGCCAUGGCGCGGUGAAUACGUUCCC